CAUGGUUUUGGGUAUUCUUUUUUCCGGUUCUUUGCUCUCACAGGCAGCUCUCCGGAUCAAUAAAAAUGGUGCUGCUGAGCUGUAGAUCUGGAUAGGCCUUGCCACACGGUCACAGUCACUGCUUCCCUCCUGGCUUAGAAGGUAUCUUAUUUCACAGGAUACCAAGAACUGCAGCGCUAGUAUUUUGUCACUUGUAAGAGAACUGAUACAUGCUCCUAGCAACUGACUCCAAUCCUGUCUGUGUAGGAUGUAUGCGGAGACCCUCUCUACAUGUGUGGCAUCCAUGCUACUUUGUUUGUGUCUCUUCUCAUCAGUUUUAGCAAAUGCUACUUCUUCAGAGGCUUGUAAAUAUGUCCAACUUCUAGACUACUUAAAUGUGACAACAGACCGGGAGCAGAUGUCCUACACUCGACCGGUGAAAAAUUGGAAAGACCCAACACUAGUGUCAUUAGAUGCUACA
Long non-coding RNA from Protopterus annectens (West African lungfish), 460 nucleotides. RefSeq lists it as uncharacterized. NCBI's taxonomy places the organism in Eukaryota, Metazoa, Chordata, Ceratodontiformes, Protopteridae. The transcript has 4 exons. The record is from RefSeq and is a predicted model, not a curated record.